This 1341-nucleotide long non-coding RNA is filed under the name Homo sapiens (human). RNAcentral's name for it is "HSALNT0146998". The record is from RNAcentral. Lineage: Eukaryota; Metazoa; Chordata; Mammalia; Primates; Hominidae.
AAAAUGCACAAUGUGAGUAGUGAUUCCUAAGCAUUUAAGGGGUGAUUUUCAAGUAAUAGAGUGAGCAGAAGACACCAUGUACAGGGACUCCAGAUGCCCCAGGCAGAGGUAAAAUGCUCGAAAGAGAGGAACAUCACUACCUGGCGGGCAGGUGGGGACAGGCUUGCCACGGAUGGUCUGGGGAUGGGAUAACUCUCUGGCUCCCACUCUGAGAAGCAGGAGGUGAUCUGGCCACAAGCCCUCAAGACGUGUUGAGUUUGGGAAUACCUCACUGCUAGGGAAUACCAGGAAUUAUGCAAUUCACUGUCUUCAUUUUAAAAUUCUGUAUGGGAGAAGCUAAAAAGUGAAGUUGGGGGGUUUUAGUAUAUUUCAUUUGCAUUGGUUUACUCUUCUCGUUCCUUGAUUAUCUGAGAGGAGGCUGCUGUUACGGAAAAGCGAAAACCAGGAGUGGUUUGAAUAUUCUUCCUUGAGACUUUUGACUGUUUCUAUAAGAAGUGGAUCUGCAUGUGCCUUUUGGAUAUUGUGUUCCUCAUGACAAUGCCUUUUGUUCAUAGAUAGUUCCCAGUUUCCAAAGACUUUCCCCAUUAUAACAUUUGUUCCAUCCUCAAAACCGUCAAAUGCAAAGGCCUCCAUUUUAUUAAAGGAGAAAGUACGACUCAAAGAAGUCAAGUGACUCACCCGAGGUCACACAGCUAAAUUCUAGCAGAGCAAGGGACCAAGAUAGUGAAUUCUAAAUGCAGAGACCUUCUUAUUGUUCCAAUUUUCUGUCCGACAAUGCCCACCUCCUGGAGUGAGCAAGUCUUGCUGGAGACACAACAGCAGCUACAAGUGGUCCUCCCGACUAUUCCAGAAAUCCUUUUUCCACAGUGAAAAACUGAAUUUGCCUGCCCCAGUUUCCCAGCCGCCUCAUGACUCGAUGAGCAAUUGCUUUAACUCUGACAAAAUUAGGCCACCUCCAACCUAAAUGUAACCCGUUUUCAGAGUGAGACCCUGCAUGGAGGCAGCUCUUUUCCUGAAAGGAUAACAAAAGCAUGCUUUUGUGUGUAUUUCACUUGAUGGAAAGAAAUCCCCAGUGAGGCCGUUUUUUCCCCCUGAAUUCUCCCAAGUCCAGAAUGUAUCCAAGUUUCCAAUAUUACCUCAGAAGAGCCAUUCAUCUAUGAAGAUGGCCGAAUUGUCUUCCAGCUCGGUAGACAGUGUGUCUGCGAGAGAGAAGGUGCUGCUAUUUUGGGUGUUUUGUACUUGUGGAGCAGAAAGAAUGCUGAAUCAGGAAGGCAGGUGAUUCAAGACUAAGCUCGGCCUUGAAGGGGUCACCACUAGAUAUUUUCCCUUAUGAUCUCUGCA